CACGUAGUCAUAUGCUUGUCUCAAAGAUUAAGCCAUGCAUGUGUAAGUUCACACCCUCGUACGGUGAAACCGCGAAUGGCUCAUUAAAUCAGUCGAGGUUCCUUAGAUGAUCCAUUUCUACUUGGAUAACUUUGGUAAUUCUAGAGCUAAUACAUGCCCAACAGCUCCGACCCCGGGCUUCGCGGUUCGGGGAAAGAGCGCUUUUAUUAGUUCAAAACCAGUCGGGGGUUUCGGCCCUCGUGCUUUGGUGACUCUGGAUAACUUUGAGCCGAUCGCAUGGCCUCGAGCCGGCGACGCAUCUUUCAAAUGUCUGCCCUAUCAAAUGACGACGGUACGUGAUCUGCCUACCGUGUUGACUACGGGUAGCGGGGAAUCAGGGUUCGAUUCCGGAGAGGGAGCAUGAGA
Molecule: ribosomal RNA, 405 nt
Filed under: Bellamya sp. 7 AJ-2009
Lineage: Eukaryota; Metazoa; Mollusca; Gastropoda; Architaenioglossa; Viviparidae
Description: SSU rRNA
Rfam family: Eukaryotic small subunit ribosomal RNA
Source: RNAcentral